This 391-nucleotide long non-coding RNA is filed under the name Pan troglodytes (chimpanzee). Its description in RNAcentral is "lincRNA". The record is from RNAcentral. Lineage: Eukaryota; Metazoa; Chordata; Mammalia; Primates; Hominidae.
ACCCCGAGGAUUAGAUCAGAAAGAUGGACCUGCCAGGGGAAAGCAUCAGAGGCUUCUGUUCCUACCAUCAGUACCAUGGAUGCGCUAUUAACAGACCAGCAUCCCUUGUUUCUAAUACUGAACUGGCCUCUACUGAGAUUUUGUCACGCAGCUGAGAUUGGAAAGGAAGCCUCAGGAGCAGAAGCGAAUGCAAGCUAACAGAAAGAAAGGGAGCGCGGAGGAUGCCACAGCCCCAGUGCCCUCCCAGCCUCAGCAGAGCUGUGGGGAUUGUUCUUCACAUCUGACGCCAUGGGGUUCUGGAAGUCUCUUAAGGGAUAUAUUGGAACUGACUUGUAUUAUUUGGAAAUCGACAUAAAUUGUCUAUUAUUAAAUCUCACUGAAUUAAGUCCAA